Molecule: ribosomal RNA, 497 nt
Filed under: uncultured bacterium
Lineage: Bacteria
Description: partial 16S ribosomal RNA
Rfam family: Bacterial small subunit ribosomal RNA
Source: RNAcentral
GAUGAACGCUGGCGGCGUGCCUAAUACAUGCAAGUCGAGCGAACGGACGAGAAGCUUGCUUCUCUGAUGUUAGCGGCGAACGGGUGAGUAACACGUGGAUAACCUACCUAUAAGACUGGGAUAACUUCGGGAAACCGGAGCUAAUACCGGAUAAUAUUUUGAACCGCAUGGUUCAAAAGUGAAAGACGGUCUUGCUGUCACUUAUAGAUGGAUCCGCGCUGCAUUAGCUAGUUGGUAAGGUAACGGCUUACCAAGGCAACGAUGCAUAGCCGACCUGAGGGGGUGAUCGGCCACACUGGAACUGAGACACGGUCCAGACUCCUACGGGAGGCAGCAGUAGGGAAUCUUCCGCAAUGGGCGAAAGCCUGACGGAGCAACGCCGCGUGAGUGAUGAAGGUCUUCGGAUCGUAAAACUCUGUUAUUAGGGAAGAACAUAUGUGUAAGUAACUGUGCACAUCUUGACGGUACCUAAUCAGAAAGCCACGGCUAACUACGUG